This 425-nucleotide unclassified non-coding RNA is filed under the name soil metagenome. Its description in RNAcentral is "partial contains 5.8S ribosomal RNA, internal transcribed spacer 2, and large subunit ribosomal RNA". The stretch from base 1 to 120 matches the Rfam family "5.8S ribosomal RNA", at positions 35 to 154 of the family's 154-position model. The record is from RNAcentral.
GAUGAAGAACGUAGCGAAAUGCGAUAAGUAGUGUGAAUUGCAGAAUUCCGUGAAUCAUCGAAUCUUUGAACGCACAUUGCGCCUUCUGGUAUUCCGGAAGGCAUGCCUGUUCGAGAGUCAUUAACAACCGUUUCGAUCCCUUUCUUUCAGAAAUUACAAAGAGGAAAAGGGUUUGGUUAUGGUGGAGGAGGGAAAGGGAGCGUUUAGCCUGUAAAAAAAGAGGCUGUGUUCCGCCUCCCCCCCAAAGUUGUACAGGCGGUCGUGUGCGCCCACGCAUCGAGGUGUUGUAAAAGCUGCCACGGCACUUUUCACCUGUGCAGUGCGAGAUUGGCCAGCCGGUUUAAAAACCCCUCCAAACAAUCAAAGGUUGACCUCGGAUCAGGUAGGGAUACCCGCUGAACUUAAGCAUAUCAAUAAGCGGAGGA